UUCACAUCAAUGGUGAGGUCAUUGGCAAAACCUUCAUCUUCAAACUUAUCCCAGUCUUCAUCCCAAACAGCUGCGCCUUCUUGUAUACCAGGUUGCCAACCAAUAGGAAGCUUAAUCAUAGCAGUUGACUCAACCUCUAACCCAUAUUUCUUGCAACGUUCAGUUAAAGCCUUCAUUAGCUCAUCAAGAUCAGAUUGUAAACGAUCAGCACGGACCUGAAGAAUACCAUUAGCACUUCCACCUCGUUCCAUGUUAACAAUCGCUUGAUGCAACUCUAACUUCCUUUCCUGAAUGUC
RNAcentral lists this unclassified non-coding RNA (296 nucleotides) under Hevea brasiliensis (rubber tree). Lineage: Eukaryota; Viridiplantae; Streptophyta; Magnoliopsida; Malpighiales; Euphorbiaceae. The record is from RNAcentral.